UGGGAAUUUUGGACAAUGGGCGAAAGCCUGAUCCAGCAAUGCCGCGUGUGUGAAGAAGGCCUUCGGGUUGUAAAGCACUUUUGUCCGGAAAGAAAUCCUUGGCUCUAAUACAGUCGGGGGAUGACGGUACCGGAAGAAUAAGCACCGGCUAACUACGUGCCAGCAGCCGCGGUAAUACGUAGGGUGCAAGCGUUAAUCGGAAUUACUGGGCGUAAAGCGUGCGCAGGCGGUUUGCUAAGACCGAUGUGAAAUCCCCGGGCUCAACCUGGGAACUGCAUUGGUGACUGGCAGGCUAGAGUAUGGCAGAGGGGGGUAGAAUUCCACGUGUAGCAGUGAAAUGCGUAGAGAUGUGGAGGAAUACCGAUGGCGAAGGCAGCCCCCUGGCCAAUACUGACGCUCAUGCACGAAAGCGUGGGGAGCAAACAGGAUUAGAUACCCUGGUAGUCCACGCCCUAAACGAUGUCAACUAGUUGUGGGGAUUCAUUUCCUAGUAACGUAGCUAACGCGUGAAGUUGACCGCCUGGGGAGUACGGUCGCAAGAUUAAAACUCAAAUGAAUUGAC
This 562-nucleotide ribosomal RNA is filed under the name uncultured bacterium. Its description in RNAcentral is "partial 16S ribosomal RNA". It matches the Rfam family "Bacterial small subunit ribosomal RNA", at positions 356 to 914 of the family's 1533-position model. The record is from RNAcentral.